This 468-nucleotide ribosomal RNA is filed under the name uncultured bacterium. RNAcentral describes it as "partial 16S ribosomal RNA". It matches the Rfam family "Bacterial small subunit ribosomal RNA", at positions 28 to 507 of the family's 1533-position model. The record is from RNAcentral.
GACGAACGCUGGCGGCGUGCUUAACACAUGCAAGUCGAACGGAAAGGCCCUGCUUUUGUGGGGUGCUCGAGUGGCGAACGGGUGAGUAACACGUGAGUAACCUGCCCUUGACUUUGGGAUAACUUCAGGAAACUGGGGCUAAUACCUGAUAGGAUCUCCUGCUGCAUGGUGGGGGUUGGAAAGUUUCGGCGGUUGGGGAUGGACUCGCGGCUUAUCAGCUUGUUGGUGGGGUAGUGGCUUACCAAGGCUUUGACGGGUAGCCGGCCUGAGAGGGUGACCGGCCACAUUGGGACUGAGAUACGGCCCAGACUCCUACGGGAGGCAGCAGUGGGGAAUAUUGCACAAUGGGCGGAAGCCUGAUGCAGCAACGCCGCGUGCGGGAUGACGGCCUUCGGGUUGUAAACCGAUUUCGCCUGUGACGAAGCGUGAGUGACGGUAAUGGGUAAAGAAGCACCGGCUAACUACGUG